UACGAGCAGCUCAAGUGGUGUCCGUGUAUAUUGGGCUUAAAGCGCCCGUAGCUGGCCUGUUAAGUGUUCUGUGAAAGCCCGUGGCUUAACUGCGGGGAGUGCAGAGCAUACUGACAGGCUUGGAGGCAGGAGAGGCCAGAGGUACUUCUGGGGUAGUGGUUAAAUACUUUAAUCCUGGAAGGACCACCAGUAGCGAAGGCGUCUGGCUAGAAUGCGCUCGACAGUGAGGGGCGAAGGCUAGGGGAGCAACCCGG
Molecule: ribosomal RNA, 254 nt
Filed under: uncultured archaeon
Lineage: Archaea
Description: partial 16S ribosomal RNA
Rfam family: Archaeal small subunit ribosomal RNA
Source: RNAcentral